RNAcentral lists this ribosomal RNA (497 nucleotides) under uncultured bacterium. Its description in RNAcentral is "partial 16S ribosomal RNA". It matches the Rfam family "Bacterial small subunit ribosomal RNA", at positions 28 to 507 of the family's 1533-position model. The record is from RNAcentral.
GAUGAACGCUGGCGGCGUGCCUAAUACAUGCAAGUCGAGCGAACAGACGAGGAGCUUGCUCCUCUGACGUUAGCGGCGGACGGGUGAGUAACACGUGGAUAACCUCCCUAUCAGACUGGGAUAACUUCGGGAAACCGGAGCUAAUACCGGAUAAUAUAUUGAACCGCAUGGUUCAAUAGUGAAAGACGGUUUUGCUGUCACUUAUAGAUGGAUCCGCGCCGCAUUAGCUAGUUGGUAAGGUAACGGCUUACCAAGGCAACGAUGCGUAGCCGACCUGAGAGGGUGAUCGGCCACACUGGAACUGAGACACGGUCCAGACUCCUACGGGAGGCAGCAGUAGGGAAUCUUCCGCAAUGGGCGAAAGCUUGACGGAGCAACGCCGCGUGAGUGAUGAAGGUCUUCGGAUCGUAAAACUCUGUUAUUAGGGAAGAACAAAUGUGUAAGUAACUAUGCACGUCUUGACGGUACCUAAUCAGAAAGCCACGGCUAACUACGUG